UAAUGUGAUGAUGAACUGACC
Molecule: microRNA, 21 nt
Filed under: Arabidopsis thaliana (thale cress)
Lineage: Eukaryota; Viridiplantae; Streptophyta; Magnoliopsida; Brassicales; Brassicaceae
Description: ath-miR418
Gene: ath-miR418
Source: miRBase by way of RNAcentral